CAGAGGAAGAGAGCACAACAGGAUGGGAAACCUCCCUUGUCCAAAGGCUACACCUGUUAGAGAAGCAGGUAGGGAGAGUCUUGGGCAGGUGACAGCAAACAGCAGAAGCAUGAGUAACUGGAGAUUUCCAAACUGAGGCUUAGUGCGGUAGCAAGCACUUGUUGGACACUUGGCUCACCAAGCUGCCUUGGGGCCUCAGACCUCGUGCCUUAGACCUUACAAACAGAUAUAUUUAGGUCUCUGAUUCAUACAUGUGUGUACACACAGUUUCUCACUAUCCUUAGACAAAUGUGCACACGUGCACAAAGUUAGAGGCCUCACAGUCAGCUGAGCACACUCCUUUACUGAGACUUGCUGUCCUGACUUAGAUCUUAUUAGCUGUAAGACCUUGGGCAAGGUAAACUCUCGGAUCCUUAGUUUUCUCCUCUGAAAAAUGAGGAUAAUAUUAUUUAUAUCAUAGAAGUCACUGUCACCCAGUAGAGAGAAUAGUGACAGCUGCCCUGGGGACACUCAAGCAAAUCCCUUGUAUUUACCCCACAUUGGACUGUCAGUAUAACAGAAAAGCCCAGGAUGAGAUGAGACAUCCUUGCUGUCCACUAGCUUCACCCCACCCCGACAUUAUGAUGCAUUGGGCUCCAUGAAGGAGAAUACACAUUUAUUGAGUUAAACUUAUUUGUUAGGAGGCAAGGGAGAGGCAGUCCUAAAAAAGUGUUCAUCCUGUGGCCCAGCAGUCCUGCUCAUCACAGCAGUAUUGUUCAAGAAAAGCAGGACCUGAGCCUCCCUGCUUUAGCUAAUUCCCUGGUCCUGGGAGAGCAAAGCCUUCCCAGGAUAGGAAAGAUGGGGAUCAUGUUUUCCCCAUCAAGUUGCAUUCAUCUGUCUAUCUGUCUGUCAGUUCAUCCAUACAUCCAUGUAAUCAGUAAAAACCAAGUGCCUACUGUGAGGCAGUAUUGUUUUAAAUGCUAGCAGCAGAAACAAAGAAUUAUGAAAUGAAACCCCUGACAUUUAUGUAUGUAUGGUCUGGUAAAUAGUAUGCUGCAUACUGCAUAGAUUUUUGGAACCAAGAGACCCAGAUUCAAAUCCCAGUUCUAUCAUUGACCAGUGCAUGGCCGUGCGACAAAUCACUUAGCAUAUAUUCUCCUUAGCAUUCUCUUCUGUAAAAUGGGGCUAAUAAUGCCUACAUUUCAAGAUUUCUAAGGGGAUUACAUGAGGUAACAUGUAAAGCACUGAGCCUGAGUUAGAUGCUGAUGAAAUAGGUUCCACUCCAGGUCCUCUAAAAGCAUGCCUGGAGUUAGAAGAUGAUGGUGUUGAGAACAUUCUAGGGGGUACAGUAGUUCUUACUGCAGUGAGAUCACUGUUCACUUGGCCAUAUUUCCUCUCAAUCCAGGACUCUUCCCAGUAUGGAAACAGUCCAGUCUUAGCUAGAAUUUCUAGGAUUCCUUCUUUUUGCAAAGACAGGGUUUCUGGCCUCAGAAUUUUCCAGUUGGACUGAAUAAGGGGAUAAGGAUGGCUCAAAGUUAAGCCAAUGAGACUCAGACCAGAGGCAUCGAGGUAAGGGCAGGGAGGAAUGAGGCAGAGAGGACUUUCUCUUUGGGGGAAAAAUCAAGCUCCACUCCCUGGGGAGAGAGGGAAAGAGAGUCAGGCUAGGUAAAAGGGUGAAUUUGGAGCUGCUGGAUAUUUUGUUUUCUAGUAGCUGUAACUAGGUAGUCUCCUGGACUCUAGUAACCCCUUUGUGAUAAACUCUAUAAUCAAUACAUUUUGGACCCAAUAUUCAGAGACAGGGCAGGCACAGCAAUGCAGAUGGCACCGUGACAGUUGGGCAUGGGGGUAACACAAAUG
RNAcentral lists this long non-coding RNA (1836 nucleotides) under Marmota monax (woodchuck). The record is from RNAcentral. Lineage: Eukaryota; Metazoa; Chordata; Mammalia; Rodentia; Sciuridae.